Parelaphostrongylus tenuis is the source of this 71-nucleotide non-coding RNA. NCBI's taxonomy places the organism in Eukaryota, Metazoa, Nematoda, Chromadorea, Rhabditida, Metastrongylidae. The record is from the annotation of a GenBank genome assembly.
AUCUUGGUGGUUUAGUGGUAGCACGCGUCCCCGAUAUGUAUGAAACGCGGGUUCGACUCACGUCUGAGGUC